UACGGGGGGGGCAAGCGUUGUUCGGAAUUACUGGGCGUAAAGGGCUCGUAGGCGGCCAACUAAGUCAGACGUGAAAUCCCUCGGCUUAACCGGGGAACUGCGUCUGAUACUGGAUGGCUUGAGUUUGGGAGAGGGAUGCGGAAUUCCAGGUGUAGCGGUGAAAUGCGUAGAUAUCUGGAGGAACACCGGUGGCGAAGGCGGCAGCCUGGACCAACACUGACGCUGAGUGAGCGAAAGCCAGGGGAGCAAACGGG
RNAcentral lists this ribosomal RNA (254 nucleotides) under uncultured bacterium. Its description in RNAcentral is "partial 16S ribosomal RNA". It matches the Rfam family "Bacterial small subunit ribosomal RNA", at positions 524 to 776 of the family's 1533-position model. The record is from RNAcentral.